GAUGAACGCUGGCGGCGUGCCUAAUACAUGCAAGUCGAGCGAAUGGAUUGAGAGCUUGCUCUUAUGAAGUUAGCGGCGGAUGGGUGAGUAACACGUGGGUAACCUGCCCAUAAGACUGGGAUAACUCCGGGAAACCGGGGCUAAUACCGGAUAACAUUUUGAACCGCAUGGUUCGAAAUUGAAAGGCGGCUUCGGCUGUCACUUAUGGAUGGACCCGCGUCGCAUUAGCUAGUUGGUGAGGUAACGGCUCACCAAGGCAACGAUGCGUAGCCGACCUGGGAGGGUGAUCGGCCACGCUGGGACUGAGACACGGCCCAGACUCCUACGGGAGGCAGCAGUAGGGAAUCUUCCGCAAUGGACGAAAGUCUGACGGAGCAACGCCGCGUGAGUGAUGAAGGCUUUCGGGUCGUAAAACUCUGUUGUUAGGGAAGAACAAGUGCUAGUUGAAUAAGCUGGCACCUUGACGGUACCUAACCAGAAAGCCACGGCUAACUACGUGCCAGCCGCCGCAGUAA
RNAcentral lists this ribosomal RNA (515 nucleotides) under uncultured bacterium. RNAcentral describes it as "partial 16S ribosomal RNA". It matches the Rfam family "Bacterial small subunit ribosomal RNA", at positions 28 to 523 of the family's 1533-position model. The record is from RNAcentral.